Molecule: unclassified non-coding RNA, 377 nt
Filed under: uncultured bacterium
Lineage: Bacteria
Description: contains 16S-23S intergenic spacer region
Source: RNAcentral
UCCGGUUCUUCACCAGCAGUCUCCUUAGAGUCCCCAACUAAAUGAUGGCAACUAAGGAUAAGGGUUGCGCUCGUUACGGGACUUAACCCAACAUCUCACAACACGAGCUGACGACAGCCAUGCAGCACCUGUCUCUAGGUUCCUUUCGGCACUUCUGCAUCUCUGCAAAAUUCCUAGGAUGUCAAGGGUAGGUAAGGUUCUUCGCGUUGCAUCGAAUUAAACCACAUGCUCCACCGCUUGUGCGGGCCCCCGUCAAUUCCUUUGAGUUUUAACCUUGCGGCCGUACUCCCCAGGCGGAGUGCUUAAUGCGUUUACUGCAGCACUAAAGGGCGGAAACCCUCUAACACUUAGCACUCAUCGUUUACGGCGUGGACUAC